CCUACGGGAGGCUGCAGUGGGGGAUAUUGCACAAUGGGGGAAACCCUGAUGCAGCGACGCCGCGUGGGUGAAGAAGCGCCUCGGCGCGUAAAGCCCUGUCAGCAGGGAAGAAAAUGACGGUACCUGAAGAAGAAGCCCCGGCUAACUACGUGCCAGCAGCCGCGGUAAUACGUAGGGGGCCAGCGUUAUCCGGAUUUACUGGGUGUAAAGGGGGCGCAGACGGGGAUGCAAGACAGGAGGGAAAGCCCGGGGCCUAACCCCGGGACUGCUCGUGGAACUGCGUGGCUAGAGUGCAGGAGGGGCAGGCGGAAUUCGUGGUGUAGCGGUGAAAUGCGUAGAUAUCAGGAGGAACACCGGUGGCGAAGGCGGCCUGCUGGACUGCAACGGACGUUGAGGCCCGAAAGCUUGGGGAGCAAACAGGAUUAGAUACCCUAGUAGUC
RNAcentral lists this ribosomal RNA (440 nucleotides) under uncultured bacterium. Its description in RNAcentral is "partial 16S ribosomal RNA". It matches the Rfam family "Bacterial small subunit ribosomal RNA", at positions 338 to 795 of the family's 1533-position model. The record is from RNAcentral.